GGCGCGGUGGCAGAGUGGCUAUGCAGCGGAUUGCAAAUCCGUGUAGACCGGUUCGAUUCCGGUCCGUGCCUCCA
Molecule: transfer RNA, 74 nt
Filed under: Alphaproteobacteria bacterium
Lineage: Bacteria; Pseudomonadati; Pseudomonadota; Alphaproteobacteria
Also listed under: 1 other name
Description: tRNA-Cys
Rfam family: tRNA
About the family: Transfer RNA (tRNA) molecules are approximately 80 nucleotides in length. Their secondary structure includes four short double-helical elements and three loops (D, anti-codon, and T loops).
Source: RNAcentral